AUCGCCCACAUCUGCUCAGUGAAAGGAUGAAGAAUGGGUGACAGUGAACAGCACAGAGGGGAGCAAGACCAGCUCCAUCCCACGUGGAGGAUUUAGGAAUGGCUGGCACCAAGAUCUGAGAAUCGCUCUAUAAUCAGAAAACGGGCACAAGGGAAACUGAGCGAUCAUCGAAUCCAGCUUUCUCCCUUCUCAGGUGAGGAGAUCGCAGUCCAAAGAGCCAGAGAUGCUUCCCCAAAGCCCAAAGUCCACAGGGAAAGCCAGCCUCCAAACCUGCGCUGGAGCCCAGCACUCCUACCUGUCCCCGCCAGAGGCUGCUUCCUGCAGAGGGGCCUCUGGCCUGGACAGCAGCCCGAGGCUCCUGUUAUUUCAGCGAGCUCGAUUUUCCAGCCACCGUCACACCCCCACCGGCAGGACCGUCACCCAGGCCGUGGAAGAGGGGAUCCCCUGCUCUGAUCUCCAAGCAGGGUUCUAGAAAGGCCACUCCCGCUGCAUGCCUAGUGUGUAACCCAGGUCCUGCAUACAGUUGGCCUCAAAUAGCUGCCGACUGAAUGAACGGACAAAUGAGAGUUUGAGGAGCAGUGAAAAUCCAAAGUCACAAGAAUAAACACUCUUGUUUGAAAAUGGAGCAUGCAACAGAC
This 638-nucleotide long non-coding RNA is filed under the name Fukomys damarensis (Damara mole-rat). RNAcentral's name for it is "lncRNA (ENSFDAG00000030231.1)". The record is from RNAcentral. Lineage: Eukaryota; Metazoa; Chordata; Mammalia; Rodentia; Bathyergidae.